This 412-nucleotide ribosomal RNA is filed under the name uncultured bacterium. RNAcentral describes it as "bacterial SSU rRNA". It matches the Rfam family "Bacterial small subunit ribosomal RNA", at positions 94 to 541 of the family's 1533-position model. The record is from RNAcentral.
AGUGGCGAACGGGUUAGUAACGCGUGGGAACAUACACAGCACAGGGGGAUAACCAUUGGAAACGAUGGCUAAUACCGCAUACGCCCUAAUGGGGAAAGAUUUAUCGGUGUUGGAUUGGCCCGCGUUAGAUUAGCUAGUUGGUGGGGUAAUGGCUCACCAAGGCGACGAUUUAUAGCUGGUUUGAGAGGAUGAUCAGCAACACUGGAACUGAGACACGGUCCAGACUCCUACGGGAGGCAGCAGUCGGGAAUAUUGUGCAAUGGGGGCAACCCUGACACAGCCAUGCCGCGUGAGUGAAGAAGGCCUUAGGGUUGUAAAGCUCUUUCAGAUGUGAGGAUGAUGGCGAUAGCAUCAGAAGAAGCUCCGGCUAACUUCGUGCCAGCAGCCGCGGUAAUACGAAGGGAGCUAGCGU